CAAUAGCGUAUAUUAAAGUUGUUGCGGUAAAAAAGCUCGUAGUUGGAUUUCUACCGAAGAUAGCCGGUCGGGUCUUCGACCUUGUAUCUGGUUUUGUCUUUGGUAUCCUCAUAGGGAACGUUUCUGUGCUUUAUUGCGUGGUGCGGUAUCUAUGACUUUUACUUUGAGGAAAUUAGAGUGUUCACGGCAGGCAAACGCCUUGAAUAUAUUAGCAUGGAAUAAUAACAUAGGAUCUUCGUCCUAUUUUGUUGGUUUCUAGGGCUAAGAUAAUGAUUAAUAGGGAUAAUUGGGGGCAUCUGUAUCAACGCGUCAGAGGUGGAAUUCUUGGAUUGCGUUGCGACAACUACUGCGAAAGCAUUUGCCAAGGAUGUUUUCAUUAA
This 380-nucleotide ribosomal RNA is filed under the name uncultured eukaryote. Its description in RNAcentral is "partial 18S ribosomal RNA". It matches the Rfam family "Eukaryotic small subunit ribosomal RNA", at positions 592 to 976 of the family's 1831-position model. The record is from RNAcentral.